This 253-nucleotide ribosomal RNA is filed under the name uncultured bacterium. RNAcentral describes it as "partial 16S ribosomal RNA". It matches the Rfam family "Bacterial small subunit ribosomal RNA", at positions 524 to 776 of the family's 1533-position model. The record is from RNAcentral.
UACGUAGGGUGCAAGCGUUGUCCGGAAUUAUUGGGCGUAAAGAGCUCGUAGGCGGUCUGUUGCGUUGGCUGUGAAAACCCGAGGCUCAACCUCGGGCCUGCAGCCGAUACGGGCAGACUAGAGUUCGGCAGGGGAGACUGGAAUUCCUGGUGUAGCGGUGAAAUGCGUAGAGAUCGGCAGGAACACCCAGGGGGAAACCAGUCGACUGGGCAUCUACUGACGCUGAGGUGCGAGAGCGUGGGGAGCGAACCGG